RNAcentral lists this ribosomal RNA (759 nucleotides) under Silvanus unidentatus. RNAcentral describes it as "partial 16S ribosomal RNA". The stretch from base 1 to 584 matches the Rfam family "Bacterial large subunit ribosomal RNA", at positions 1893 to 2925 of the family's 2925-position model. Lineage: Eukaryota; Metazoa; Arthropoda; Insecta; Coleoptera; Silvanidae. The record is from RNAcentral.
GUCUUUCUGUUAUGAUAGAAAGUCUAGUCUGCCCACUGAUUUGUUGAAUGGCUGCAGUAUUUUGACUGUACAAAGGUAGCAUAAUCAUUAGUUUUUUAAUUGAAAGCUGGAAUGAAUGGCUGGAUGAGAUAACAGCUGUCUCUUUAUUAUUUAUUGAAUUUUAUUUUUGAGUAAAAAAGCUUAAAUUUAGGUAAAAGACGAGAAGACCCUAUAGAGUUUAAUAAUUUAAGUUAAAUAGUUUUUUAGAAUUUACAAAAUAUUUUUUCUUCAAUUAUUUUGUUGGGGUGAUUAUAUAAUUUGAUAAACUUAUAUUUUAUGAACAAUAAUUUUUGAUUAUUUGAUCCAAUAUUUUUGAUUAAAAGAUUAAAUUACCUUAGGGAUAACAGCGUAAUUUUUCUUGAGAGUUCUGAUUAAUAGGAGAGUUUGCGACCUCGAUGUUGGAUUAAAAUUAAGUUUUGGUGCAAUCGCUAAAAUUUUAGGUCUGUUCGACCUUUAAAAUUUUACAUGAUCUGAGUUUAAACCGGUGUGAGCCAGGUUGGUUUCUAUCUUUAUUCUUUUUAACCAUUUUAGUACGAAAGGACCAAUUGGUUAAUUAAUAAUUUUGUUUUUGAAUAUUAAUAUUAUUUUGGCAGAUUAGUGCGAUAGAUUUAGAAUCUUUAUAUGUAUUGAAUUACAAAUAAUAUUGGUAUUAAUUGAUUAUUUUUUACUUUUUAUUUCUUAUUUGUUAUUAAUUGUUACAGUUCUAGUAGGUGUGGCUUU